Molecule: ribosomal RNA, 301 nt
Filed under: uncultured bacterium
Lineage: Bacteria
Description: partial 16S ribosomal RNA
Rfam family: Bacterial small subunit ribosomal RNA
Source: RNAcentral
CAGCAGCCGCGGUAAUACGAAGGGGGCUAGCGUUGUUCGGAUUUACUGGGCGUAAAGCGCACGUAGACGGACUUUUAAGUCGGGGGUGAAAUCCCGGGGCUCAACCCCGGAACUGCCUUUGAUACUGGGAGUCUUGAGUUCGAGAGAGGUGAGUGGAAUUGCGAGUGUAGAGGUGAAAUUCGUAGAUAUUCGCAGGAACACCAGUGGCGAAGGCGGCUCACUGGCUCGAUACUGACGCUGAGGUGCGAAAGCGUGGGGAGCAAACAGGAUUAGAUACCCCCGUAGUCCCUGUCUCUUAUAC